This 253-nucleotide ribosomal RNA is filed under the name uncultured bacterium. Its description in RNAcentral is "partial 16S ribosomal RNA". It matches the Rfam family "Bacterial small subunit ribosomal RNA", at positions 524 to 776 of the family's 1533-position model. The record is from RNAcentral.
UACGUAGGGCGCAAGCGUUGUCCGGAAUUAUUGGGCGUAAAGAGCUCGUAGGCGGCCUGUCACGUCCGCUGUGAAAUCCCGGGGCUCAACCCCGGGCCUGCAGUGGAUACGGGCUGGCUGGAGGCAGGCAGGGGAGAACGGAAUUCCUGGUGUAGCGGUGAAAUGCGCAGAUAUCAGGAGGAACACCGGUGGCGAAGGCGGUUCUCUGGGCCUGUACUGACGCUGAGGAGCGAAAGCGUGGGGAGCGAACAGG